Molecule: ribosomal RNA, 301 nt
Filed under: uncultured bacterium
Lineage: Bacteria
Description: partial 16S ribosomal RNA
Rfam family: Bacterial small subunit ribosomal RNA
Source: RNAcentral
CAGCAGCCACGGUAAUGCGGAGGGGGCUAGCGUUGUUCGGAAUUACUGGGCGUAAAGCGCACGUAGGCGGCUUGGUAAGUUAGAGGUGAAAGCCCGGAGCUCAACUCCGGAAUUGCCUUUAAGACUGCCGAGCUAGUAGGUGAGAGAGGUAAGUGGAAUUCCGAGUGUAGAGGUGGAAUUCGUAGAUAUUCGGAAGAACACCAGUGGCGAAGGCGGCUUACUGGCUCAUUCUAGACGCUGAGGUGCGAAAGCGUGGGGAGCAAACAGGAUUAGAUACCCGUGUAGUCCCUGUCUCUUAUAC